CUGGACUCCUCGGCCUCGGUUUCCCCUGUCCCCUCCGAAGGAGCGCGGAAGGGUCUUUGCUCCGUUGUGCUCCAUGGGAGGUUUUUUUUUCUGGGUUUUGCACACGAUGGAGCAGAGCUGAAGUGAAGCACGCACACACCCUGCCCCCACAAUUUUCUGGUGUGACCUUUUUGGAUAAACAAAGACCCCGGCAUAAGCUUUGGAGGUGAUGGAUGCCCCGGCUGUCCGUUCUCUCCCCGGAGUGGAGGUGGGUGCAAGGUGAUGAUGUCGUCGUCCUCCGGAGGCUUCCAUAUGUACUGCUCUCCAUUGCCUAUGAACACCGUUUCCUGAUAAACAAAGUCAAAUGAUGAGCUUCAUAAAGUGCUGCUGUGAGGUUAGAAUCUGUGAGCCAUUGUGCAAAGGUACUCAUGCAAAUAAAAGCUCAAAUGUUUUAAUAUUUCCCCCUGUAUGAGUUAAAAGCAGAUGAACAAAAAUAAGUGAAUUAUUCAUGUGUGUUUCCAAGGAAUGGGCCAGUUUCCAGGAGUCAGUCCUGGAUUGUAUGGACCCAAAGUUGGAUUGGAUCAGGGAAACCUCAGACUAUGACUAGUUCCCAUUUUGUAUCAUCUGGAUUUGGAUGUUUAUGGAUUGGACAUUUAACAUUGUAAAUAUGAAGAUUGAUAAUUGGAAAUAAAGAUAGGUAAAGUCUAUUAUUCUAUUAAAAUUAGAAAAUCAAGAAGGUAAAAUAUUCUGUGCAAUAAGAACCUUGAUUUAAAAACUACGACUGAAUUCAGGUUUAGUCUAUAUUUUGCUUAAUUCUUUGCAUUAAACUCAAAAAUAACAUAAAUGUUAUAGACAACAAUAUAACAACUAGCAACAUGUUUCUCUUAGCAGCAGGAACAUUUCUUGUUCUUUCUAAAAACCAGACGUUUAUGCAAUAUUAUUUUGAAUUUUUGCUGAUAUAACCACAGUACUCUAAAAACAACACUUUGAAACUCAGUUCCAGGCUUCACUUGCCCUGCAGGAUCAUUUUGACUGGAAAGCUUUGAAGAAAUAGUGAAAUCAUAACUUUUUAGCUAAAUAUACAUUCAUCCAUCCAUCAUUUUACACGCUCAGCCCUAUUGGGGUUAAAAAGGGUCCUGGUAACUAUCUCCUGAGAACAAUGGGCGAGAGGAAGGGUACACCCUGGUCAGAUGGCCAGUCCAUCACAGGCUAAACAUA
Xiphophorus hellerii (green swordtail) is the source of this 1197-nucleotide long non-coding RNA. RefSeq lists it as uncharacterized. Lineage: Eukaryota; Metazoa; Chordata; Actinopteri; Cyprinodontiformes; Poeciliidae. The transcript has 3 exons. The record is from RefSeq and is a predicted model, not a curated record.